UCCUCACUUUUCUUUUAAAGAUUGAUGCAAAUGGCUUCAUCCCUCUUCCCUAUGGAGCCUGACAUGCGCGCGAAGUAAAGAGUCUGUACGUUUAGUCCUAACGAGGCAUUGGAUUCAAUUUUUUCUAAAAAUUUUGAUCUCUAUUCUGCUGUGAAUAAGGUAACUCAUAAUUAUUAUGUAAUCCUUAGAAUAGAAAAUUUUUUUAGAUGCACUCUGGCAAUC
RNAcentral lists this long non-coding RNA (222 nucleotides) under Elaeis guineensis (African oil palm). RNAcentral describes it as "long non-coding RNA (EGUI_LNC034705)". The record is from RNAcentral. Lineage: Eukaryota; Viridiplantae; Streptophyta; Magnoliopsida; Arecales; Arecaceae.